CUGGCUUCUGCGGCCCGUGUGGGAAAAACUGGAACGACAGAGAGAAGAUUAGUGUUGUCCCUGUGCAAGGGUGACACAAAUCUGUGACGCGCUCCAUAUUUUC
This is a small nuclear RNA of Microtus ochrogaster (prairie vole), 103 nucleotides long. The record is from Ensembl. Lineage: Eukaryota; Metazoa; Chordata; Mammalia; Rodentia; Cricetidae.